UACGUAGGGUGCAAGCAUUAAUCGGAAUUAUUGGGCGUAAAGAGCGUGUAGGCGGCCAUACAGGUCAGCUGUGAAAACUCGAGGCUCAACCUCGAGACGUCGGUUGAAACCGUAUGGCUAGAGUCCGGAAGAGGAGAGUGGAAUUCCCGGUGUAGCGGUGAAAUGCGCAGAUAUCGGGAAGAACACCCGUGGCGAAGGCGGCUCUCUGGGACGGUACUGACGCUGAGACGCGAAAGCGUGGGGAGCGAACAGG
This 253-nucleotide ribosomal RNA is filed under the name uncultured bacterium. Its description in RNAcentral is "partial 16S ribosomal RNA". It matches the Rfam family "Bacterial small subunit ribosomal RNA", at positions 524 to 776 of the family's 1533-position model. The record is from RNAcentral.